RNAcentral lists this ribosomal RNA (497 nucleotides) under uncultured bacterium. RNAcentral's name for it is "partial 16S ribosomal RNA". It matches the Rfam family "Bacterial small subunit ribosomal RNA", at positions 28 to 507 of the family's 1533-position model. The record is from RNAcentral.
GAUGAACGCUGGCGGCGUGCCUAAUACAUGCAAGUCGAGCGAACAGACGAGGAGCUUGCUCCUCUGACGUUAGCGGCGGACGGGUGAGUAACACGUGGAUAACCUACCUAUAAGACUGGGAUAACUUCGGAAAACCGGAGCUAAUACCGGAUAAUAUAUUGAACCGCAUGGUUCAAUAGUGAAAGACGGUUUUGCUGUCACAUAUAGAUGGAUCCGCGCUGCAUUAGCUAGUUGGUAAGGUAACGGCUUACCAAGGCAACGAUGCUUAGCCGGCCUGAGAGGGGAGUCGGCCACACUAGAACUGAGAAACGGUCCAGACUCCUACCGGAGGCCGCAGUAAGGAAUCUUCCGGACUGGGCGAAAGCCUGACGGAGCAACGCCGCGUGAGUGAUGAAGGUCUUCGGAUCGUAAAACUCUGCUAUUAGGGAAGAACAAAUGUGUAAGUAACUAUGCACGUCUUGACGAUACCUAAUCAGAAAGCCACGGCUAACUACAUG